This 367-nucleotide ribosomal RNA is filed under the name uncultured organism. RNAcentral describes it as "bacterial LSU rRNA". It matches the Rfam family "Bacterial large subunit ribosomal RNA", at positions 2099 to 2465 of the family's 2925-position model. The record is from RNAcentral.
CUUUACUGUAGCUUUGUAUUGGACUUUGAACAGAUCUGUGUAGGAUAGGUGGGAGGCUUUGAAGCCCGGUCGCUAGAUCGGGUGGAGCCAACGUUGAAAUACCACCCUGGUGUGUUUGAGGUUCUAACCUAGGUCCAUUAUCUGGAUCGGGAACAGUGCAUGGUAGGCAGUUUGACUGGGGCGGUCUCCUCCCAAAGCGUAACGGAGGAGUUCGAAGGUACGCUAGGUACGGUCGGACAUCGCGCUAAUAGUGCAAUGGCAUAAGCGUGCUUAACUGCGAGACUGACAAGUCGAGCAGAUGCGAAAGCAGGACAUAGUGAUCCGGUGGCUCUGUAUGGAAGGGCCAUCGCUCAACGGAUAAAAGGUA